UGGCGCAGCUUACCAUGCAGUCGAGCGGUAACAGGGGGUGCUUGCACCCCGCUGACGAGCGGCGGACGGGUGAGUAAUGCAUAGGAAUCUGCCCAGUAGUGGGGGAUAGCCCGGGGAAACCCGGAUUAAUACCGCAUACGCCCUUUGGGGGAAAGCAGGGGAUCUUCGGACCUUGCGCUAUUGGAUGAGCCUAUGUCGGAUUAGCUAGUUGGUGGGGUAAAGGCCUACCAAGGCGACGAUCCGUAGCUGGUCUGAGAGGAUGAUCAGCCACAUCGGGACUGAGACACGGCCCGAACUCCUACGGGAGGCAGCAGUGGGGAAUAUUGGACAAUGGGGGCAACCCUGAUCCAGCCAUGCCGCGUGUGUGAAGAAGGCUUUCGGGUUGUAAAGCACUUUCAGUGAGGAGGAAAACCUUCUGGUUAAUACCCAUGAGGCUUGACGUUACUCACAGAAGAAGCACCGGCUAACUCCGUGCCAGCAGCCGCGGUAAUACGGAGGGUGCAAGCGUUAAUCGGAAUUACUGGGCGUAAAGCGCGCGUAGGUGGUUUGAUAAGCGAGAUGUGAAAGCCCCGGGCUUAACCUGGGAACGGCAUUUCGAAC
Molecule: ribosomal RNA, 600 nt
Filed under: Marinobacter sp.
Lineage: Bacteria; Pseudomonadati; Pseudomonadota; Gammaproteobacteria; Pseudomonadales; Marinobacteraceae
Description: bacterial SSU rRNA
Rfam family: Bacterial small subunit ribosomal RNA
Source: RNAcentral